Molecule: long non-coding RNA, 161 nt
Organism: Perognathus longimembris pacificus (Pacific pocket mouse)
Lineage: Eukaryota; Metazoa; Chordata; Mammalia; Rodentia; Heteromyidae
Exons: 3
Source: RefSeq, a predicted model, not a curated record
GUAGAAAGACAGACUCCCCCCUCAUGGGGGCCCCCUUGGCAGACCGAGGAGGAAGCGGGGCCCAGAGCCAGUUAGCACCCUGCCCAAAGCUACACGGGACAUGCUGGCAGAUCCUCCAUGAGAAGCCGGGGAAGCCCGGUGGCUGCCUCCCCCGUGCCAGG